UUGGCACUGCUGCAGCUGGUCACGCCGGAUUUUGGAAGAAGCCCCUAAGAUCAUGCUCUCUAAUUCACUCUUUGUCACGAUUGUUUACUCAAAGCUCAGCAGAAACAUCGCUGCCUUCUCUGUUCUCAUAGUGAGUUUUGUUUUCUGCUUACUUGCAGGAGGCAGGCGAUUAAGAGACGCUUAUUUCUCCGUGAGAAUAGCGACGGAACACAAGUGGGAUUCUCUUCUUCUGCAAAACACUGGAUAAUUUUCUCACGGAUAUUCGCGCACUGCCAGGGUUGUAGCCAACAGAGACUGAAGGAUGGGAACCCUGCCUUAAUGGACAUUGUAUGCAUCAGUAGAAAAACAACAUUCUUACAUCCAGGCUUUUUAAAUGACCACGCUUCCACUGUAUAUAAGCCUUGUGUAUACUGCGUAAUUGUAACUCUUACUCAUCUCUUUUCUUAUGCAGCUUCUAAUACAAAGUGGGAAUGACAACUUCAUGUGCUGGUUCCUUGCACCACACUGUAAGAUAGCCCUGAACAUUACGAUGCAAUGUCUGCAUGACAUGGAUUCAUGGUGAAUUUUAAUUGUAAUAAAAUAUUUAUUUUUAUAAUUUAAACAUGUAGCGUAUGUGAACUUAACUUAAUCUUUUUUUAUUAAUAAAUCAUGAAUCAGAAAAUGUAGCACUCGCUGGUUUCACUCUCGCUUAAAUCAGAUCAGACUCACAGAAAGCAGCCACUUGUGUAAAAAAAAAGAAAAAAGUAAAAAUCCAUGCUCCUUUAAUUACUUCAAUUCACUGCAUCACUUUUGGUGCUGAACGAUGGAGAAAAAAAGAGGUGCAAAAGCAGAUAUUGGGUUGUCCUGCCACAAACCCAAUUAACUUAAUCAAAUGUCAUAGUGAUAAAUGGAGGAGGGUGGUGUGGCUGGAGGUUCGUUUAAACAAAUAAGAGCUGCUUUGACCUGAAGAUGUGUCGAAUGAGUCUUUUCAGAGAGACAGAAGACUGAUGCUCUGAGUCAGUUAUGUAUUGACCGUGUCAAUGUUAUGGGCCCUGAGACAGACACCACCUACACACCGUACAGAGAGUGAGAACUAUGUAAAAACAAAAAAACACUGCUCAGUAUUUGCCAAACUCUUUUGUUACUUUGCUGCAACGGGCUGAUUGUUUUUGUAGUUUUCUGGGGCGAAUCAAUCAUCUACGCUGUCCUUGGUGCUGAAUCUGAUCCUGCGUCCUCUGCAGAACGUUUUGUGCCAAACUCUCUGCAUUACUCUUUAAGUUUCCUUCGCUGUGGAAGUCAUAAAGCAGUGAAUGGAAAUAAAAAAAAUAUAUAUUAAGCAUUAGAUAUUGGGUGUAAGACGGGGAGAUCCAGC
Xyrichtys novacula (pearly razorfish) is the source of this 1351-nucleotide non-coding RNA. The record is from the annotation of a GenBank genome assembly. Lineage: Eukaryota; Metazoa; Chordata; Actinopteri; Labriformes; Labridae.